AUUUGAAAAGUAAAUGCAUUAAAUAGGAUGGUUAUAUUCAAUUGAAAAUUUAUACUUUGCUUUAAUUACAUUUACAAACACAUACAUGUCUUAAAUAUGAGCAAAAUGAGAUUACACGUAAUAGCAGUUAUAAAUAAUACAUUUAUUUCAUAGUAAUGAGUUGUCGAAUAAAUGUUUAUAAAUUAUCCGUAAAAUUACAAUCAAAACAAACAUUAAAUAUUGCUAACAAAUACGAUGAAUGAAUGUAACAAAAAUUGUAUAAGAAAACCGAGAAAAGAAUUGUACUGUCGAUAUAACAAUACAGGUAUAGUUUUGUAUAAGUAUUGAAAUAAGAUGACUGACCAAGGCCAAUUACUAGAAUUGUAAAUAGAUUAAAGAAUUGAUGUGUAUAAGUGAUAGGAGAAUUAUGUUAAGAUUCUUGAAAAUAUUGAUGAUGAAACAGCAAAUAUUAUUUGGAACAUAGCGAUGCCGCUUCAAUUAUAAUAUAAAAUAUUUUACCUUCUGUGCUGUAGUAUCUGCCAUUAUACACUCCAUGAAAAAAAAAAGUUUAUAAAAUAUAACCACACUAUCCCUUUGUUGUAACGUACAACUUCAAACAGGAAGUUGCGAGUUAUUUUUUCUUCGUCAAAAUCGAGACACCAUAGAGCUGAUUGAGAUAAUUAUAAUCAUAGCAUGUGCUAAGGUGCACGAUGAUACACAAAAUGUCAAUCUUUAUUCUUUUACUUUUUACAUGUUUUAUUUCGUAUUCUGUAGAAGUUGUUUUUACUAUAAUCUACACAAUUUGAAUUCGCUUUUUUGAUAGAAAUGGAAAUGUAAGAAAACAUGAUGUGAUAAAUUAUAAUUGUAUUCGUUAUAAUUGAUGUGAGUAGAAUACUAAUAAUAAAAAAUGAUAUUUUGUUUUCAAUUAACUGUCAGAAAUUAAAUAUAAUAAUCUAUGAAAAUGUCAAAUAAGUAGGUACCAGAAGUAGGAGAGAGAUAAAAGGAUAAUACUUCAUUAAAUCAAAUGUC
Long non-coding RNA from Bombus pascuorum, 1008 nucleotides. RefSeq lists it as uncharacterized. Lineage: Eukaryota; Metazoa; Arthropoda; Insecta; Hymenoptera; Apidae. The transcript has 3 exons. The record is from RefSeq and is a predicted model, not a curated record.